UGUUUUGAACCAUCUGAGCUAAUGUAUCUCCAACCAGAGCACGCACUGUUGAUGCAUCAGCUGAAAGCCUAGCGCCAAUUGUGCCACUUGAGUGCUCAAGCUCAUCAAACCACCCAACCUCCAUAUGGACCACCUUCUCAAAACUCAUUGAUCUAAUCCUCUGGAUUAACUUAGACCCAGCCACAGAAAAUAAAUAUAACUGUGUUAUACACGCCAAAAAUGAUACAAUGCCAACUAUCAUAAAUAUUAUUGCCCAGAACUUUGAAUCCUUCCUCAACUCAUGAGCUGGUUUGAAAAAUGCUUUAAUCACUCUAGAAAUUAGGAUACCAAAAAGAGGAUAUAUUACACCGUUGAUAAUUGCAGCUAUAGAUCCAGCUACAAGCACAGGUAUCUCAGGCUUGUUGAGAUAUGCA
Molecule: unclassified non-coding RNA, 413 nt
Filed under: Hevea brasiliensis (rubber tree)
Lineage: Eukaryota; Viridiplantae; Streptophyta; Magnoliopsida; Malpighiales; Euphorbiaceae
Source: RNAcentral